This 384-nucleotide ribosomal RNA is filed under the name Triticum aestivum (bread wheat). RNAcentral's name for it is "partial small subunit ribosomal RNA". The record is from RNAcentral. Lineage: Eukaryota; Viridiplantae; Streptophyta; Magnoliopsida; Poales; Poaceae.
AUGUUCAUGUGGCUGCCCUUCGGCGUUGCACUUGCCUCCGCCCGCCUCACCGUCGCGCUCACCGUGCCAUAUCGAUAUUCCACGCCGAUCCUGGCGGCCACCGGCAUGUCAUGGCGGCUCAAGGCCCUCGAUGGGCCACCGCUGCAGACCGCUGGCGUCGAGCGAGGUUGCCGGCGCGGGCAGCUGUUUGUGUGCAACCACCGCACCCUCCUCGACCCGGUGUACGUGUCAGUGGCGCUGGACCGACCGGUGCGCGCCGUGUCGUAUAGCCUCAGCCGGCUCUCGGAGCUCAUCUCACCAAUCGGCCGCACCGUGCGGCUGACACGAGACCGCGACGCCGACGGACGUGCCAUGGCCCGACUCCUGGAGAUGGGGGACCUCGUC